Molecule: ribosomal RNA, 1026 nt
Filed under: Phyllosticta citricarpa
Lineage: Eukaryota; Fungi; Ascomycota; Dothideomycetes; Botryosphaeriales; Phyllostictaceae
Description: SSU rRNA
Rfam family: Eukaryotic small subunit ribosomal RNA
Source: RNAcentral
AUCUAUACUGUGAAACUGCGAAUGGCUCAUUAAAUCAGUUAUCGUUUAUUUGAUAGUACCUUACUACUUGGAUAACCGUGGUAAUUCUAGAGCUAAUACAUGCUAAAAACCCCGACUUCGGAAGGGGUGUAUUUAUUAGAUAAAAAACCAAUGCCCUUCGGGGCUCCUUGGUGAAUCAUGAUAACUUAACGAAUCGCAUGGCCUUGCGCCGGCGAUGGUUCAUUCAAAUUUCUGCCCUAUCAACUUUCGAUGGUAGGAUAGUGGCCUACCAUGGUAGCAACGGGUAACGGGGAAUUAGGGUUCUAUUCCGGAGAGGGAGCCUGAGAAACGGCUACCACAUCCAAGGAAGGCAGCAGGCGCGCAAAUUACCCAAUCCCGACACGGGGAGGUAGUGACAAUAAAUACUGAUACAGGGCUCUUUCGAGUCUUGUAAUUGGAAUGAGUACAAUUUAAAUACCUUAACGAGGAACAAUUGGAGGGCAAGUCUGGUGCCAGCAGCCGCGGUAAUUCCAGCUCCAAUAGCGUAUAUUAAAGUUGUUGCAGUUAAAAAGCUCGUAGUUGAACCUUGGGCCUGGCUGGCCGGUCCGCCUCACCGCGUGUACUGGUCCGGCCGGGCCUUUCCUUCUGGGGAUCCGCAUGCCCUUCACUGGGUGUGCCGGGGAACCAGGACUUUUACUUUGAAAAAAUUAGAGUGUUCAAAGCAGGCCUUUGCUCGAAUACAUUAGCAUGGAAUAAUAGAAUAGGACGUGCGGUCCUAUUUUGUUGGUUUCUAGGACCGCCGUAAUGAUUAAUAGGGAUAGUCGGGGGCAUCAGUAUUCAAUUGUCAGAGGUGAAAUUCUUGGAUUUAUUGAAGACUAACUACUGCGAAAGCAUUUGCCAAGGAUGUUUUCAUUAAUCAGUGAACGAAAGUUAGGGGAUCGAAGACGAUCAGAUACCGUCGUAGUCUUAACCGUAAACUAUGCCGACUAGGGAUCGGGCGAUGUUAUUAUUUUGACUCGCUCGGCACCUUACGAGAAAUCAAAGUCU